Molecule: ribosomal RNA, 497 nt
Filed under: uncultured bacterium
Lineage: Bacteria
Description: partial 16S ribosomal RNA
Rfam family: Bacterial small subunit ribosomal RNA
Source: RNAcentral
GAUGAACGCUGGCGGCGUGCCUAAUACAUGCAAGUCGAGCGAACGGACGAGAAGCUUGCUUCUCUGAUGUUAGCGGCGGACGGGUGAGUAACACGUGGAUAACCUACCUAUAAGACUGGGAUAACUUCGGGAAACCGGAGCUAAUACCGGAUGAUAUUUUGAACCGCAUGGUUCAAAAGUGAAAGACGGUCUUGCUGUCACUUAUAGAUGGAUCCGCGCUGCAUUAGCUAGUUGGUAAGGUAACGGCUUACCAAGGCAACAAUGCAUAGCCGACCUGAGAGGGUGAUCGGCCACACUGGAACUGAGACACGGUCCAGACUCCUACGGGAGGCAGCAGUAGGGAAUCUUCCGCAAUGGGCGAAAGCCUGACGGAGCAACGCCGCGUGAGUGAUGAAGGUCUUCGGAUCGUAAAACUCUGUUAUUAGGGAAGAACAUAUGUGUAAGUAACUGUGCACAUCUUGACGGUACCUAAUCAGAAAGCCACGGCUAACUACGCG